AUCCAACUUCACGUACACCACAAAACAAGAGUAACCUACCUCAGACCUAGGGCAAAACUGACAGCACGAUGCCAGUAAUCUCUGUGGCUGUGCAGAAACACACCUCGAUGCUUGCCUGAGCCCCGACUUCACAUCCCAAAGCAGAGAGCACCGCAGCUGGUACUGCUGCGUGAUGCUGAAGCUGCCUGGCACUUGCCAUUAAAGCCACUCAACUUCUGUUUCUUUUGACUUUGCCAGUUUUUAACAGCUUAGCCCAAAAUUUGGCAUACCAGCUGUCUGCCUCGGGCUGAGAAGGUCUGGAAAAUUUCGGCAGAAGGACGUGUUCAUUCACAGGGAAAGGUAACAGGGGCGUCCAGGUGAGCUGCCCGUCUGAGCAGCCCUGGGAGGAUUUUCCCUGCGCAGCUCCCACGUCCUGUGCCCGAGAGGCAGCUCUCCAUCACCCCGCUACAUGCCGGGGAGCAGCAUUUGCGUGGGGUGCCCUUCAAGGGAGGGAAAAAAAGGUGCAGACACUGGGAAAACUAGGAUUUUGGAAAACUUCACUGUUGUGUCCAUCCAGAAAGAAAAGCAGGCAGAUGCCGGCUGCCACCAAGGUGUGAACCUAAAUGCCAACCACCAGAAAGUGGCAACGAGGUGGGUGGUAUCAGGGAAGACCGUGGAGAUGAAGCACUGAAAAUCCUCAUCUCCUUCACUGCAUGGGAGCGCACGGCCCUGAGUGUGCUGCUGACUCCUUCCCCUGUAUGGGAAGAUGCAGUGCUGCUGCAGAAGAAUACUUCCUUGUGUCAGCUUCACUCCAAGCACUGAAAAGAGAGAACUUUGUUGUUGUUCCUUGGGUGGCAGCUGCUAAUACAGGUAGAAAAACUGGAGAAACCUCUAUUGCAUUGACCAACAUGGUGCAGGUGAAUUAUGUCAGCUAUCUUUUUUUGGGGUGUAUGCAGUUAGUUGAAGGGAACAGUACAAAUGCAUUGCUCUUUUCUCUGUUCAUCCCUCAGAUUUUUCCUUCAACCUUUGGGUAACUUAAGAUGCCACUAAUAAUUUUUUUCUCUAGUCCGGUGUGUCCUUUUUACUUUUGCCAGUAUUUCCAAGAAGACGGGUAAAUAAAUAAGCAGGUAAAUUUACUCCA
This 1120-nucleotide long non-coding RNA is filed under the name Anser brachyrhynchus (Pink-footed goose). RNAcentral's name for it is "lncRNA (ENSABRG00000003926.1)". The record is from RNAcentral. Lineage: Eukaryota; Metazoa; Chordata; Aves; Anseriformes; Anatidae.